RNAcentral lists this ribosomal RNA (770 nucleotides) under Mastigamoeba scholaia. RNAcentral's name for it is "partial small subunit ribosomal RNA". It matches the Rfam family "Eukaryotic small subunit ribosomal RNA", at positions 85 to 436 of the family's 1831-position model. Lineage: Eukaryota; Evosea; Mastigamoebida; Mastigamoebidae. The record is from RNAcentral.
AACUGCGGAUGGCUCAUUACAACAGUUAUUAUUGAAAUAGUGAAUAUUUGGAAUUAGAGGAGCAAUCCUUGAAAAUCAAAAGAAUAUAUGGAUAACCCUGCUAAUCGUAGAGCUAAUACAUGAAGUCAAGGCUCGAAGGAAAAUGGGAGGCAAGCCGAGAUGCAAGCUCAUGGGAAGACAAAGUCGAACUGCACGACAACCCUAAACCAGAUGAGGUGUAAUGAGAAAGACCUUGUCGGGGAAGGAUCCUGAGAGAGGGCAUGAGUAGGUAGCUGAACCAUAUACCAUAGAGUCGCAUUUGUCAGCAAAGCGAGAAAUGGGGUUACUCUCUCUUUAUUGAGAGGGUAAUUCAUGAGGAGACAAAGACAUGCUAAUGGAUGAGGUAUGUAGAAAAAAGACCUCAAAGCCAGGACAUGAGAAUAAAAACGGACAGCUGGAUGAGCAAAUCUAUUAGGGAAGAGACGAAAAAGAAAAAAGCCAGUUGCUGUGAGACCCUGGGUCAAACUGGGGGGUAAUGGCAGAAUGACUAAAGCUAAUAGAGCACGGCUGAGCAAUGGAGUCUCCAAGUGAGAUAGGACAAAGGAGCAAAUUGCAGAUAAGAGGAGGUGGAGACAUCUUCUCGGCAAUGCACUAGAGAAAUUUCUGACCUAUCAACUGGAUGGCAGGAUCGGGGCUUGCCAUGGUGUUGACGGGUAACGAGGAAUUAGGGUUCGAUUUCGGAGAGGUGGCCUGGGAAACGGCGACCACUUCCAAGGAAGGCAGCAGGCGCG